Long non-coding RNA from Labrus mixtus (cuckoo wrasse), 1719 nucleotides. RefSeq lists it as uncharacterized. The transcript is spliced from 6 exons. NCBI's taxonomy places the organism in Eukaryota, Metazoa, Chordata, Actinopteri, Labriformes, Labridae. The record is from RefSeq and is a predicted model, not a curated record.
GUGAAGGAGUGUAGACAUGUUAAAGAGAGUUUAGGUAAGGAGGAGCCGUUUUUGUCGCUGUUUUGUAAGCCAGCUGCAAGGUUUCAAAUUUGAUUCAACAGUAACUGGGAGCCAGUGGAGGGAGAUGAACAAAAGAGUGACAUGUGUUUUUUUCGUUCACUCAGGUUUUGGUGCCGUGCAGUGUAUGAAGAUGUGGACUCUCGCUGCAGACCGCUGGAUCUGUCUGCUCGCUCUGGCUGCAGUGAUGCUCGUCUCUGCAGGUAUACAAAGCAAGAAUUUUAUAUCAAGAGUGUGUGGUAGUGGUAAAGAACAUGUUAUUAAACCAGCUUUAAACUGUAUGUUAUGGUAAGUUGCUGUUAUUUCAACUUUCGUUUGUAGUGAUACAAUGAACUUAAAAAGGCUUUAUUCAAAAAGACUUUACUUUAUUUGAAUGUUACUUUUUUUUAUUGUGGCUGAACCUUUAAUGAGUCCUUUUUAUGCAGAUUGCUGUAAAGGUAUGCUGUAGAUAUUUUUCUUCAGAAAACACUGCUUAUACAUGUACAUGAAGAGAAAAGCAAAGCGAUAAAAGAGGUAUCACUUUGUCUGCUGGAGGUGCCAAGUGAACACAAGAAGUUGUCACCUGGCUAACUUAGUAGUAUUGCUGCUUUGAAGGUGACAGUUUGUAGACUCCUUAUGCAAGACCAAAGUGAACUUUCCUCACACUUUCCAAUGAACAUCAAAGUAUGUAUUUGGUUUAUGUUUGCCAUGCAAAAAAGUGGGCACAUUUAGCAAUAAACUCACUUAAAGAUUGCGUAUACUUCUGUAGGUUUUUUGUCCUAGACUUCCUCUUUCAGGAAACAUGCAAGCUGCUCUUUCUUGUUAUUUUAUAGCCUGAGAAGAAGACAAUAAAUGCUAAGGUUUAAGAUGACCUAAGUAAAAUCUCCAUUGUGCAGGACUUUACAACAGCCAUGGAGGACCUGAUGUUCUUCAUCCUCCAUAAACUAAACAGAAAUCCUCAUCAUAAGCCUGGCUAGGUUGUGUCAAAAAUACAGCAAAUGCUGGGACAGCCUCAAAAAAAUAUGAAUUUUGGUUGGAACACAACACAAAGAAACCCACUCCUGUUUCUUCAGACUUAUUGAUUAUCACCUAAAUCACUGCUGUUUUAUGUUGUUGAGUAUUAAUGAUACUGCUGAAUAAUGACUGUGUCUCUCUCGUCUUGUCUGUUUUUGUCUGUGUGUGUGUAUGUGUGUGUGUGUGUGUGUGUGUGUGGGGGGGAGUAGAUGCUUUUGUGAACCCACCCUGCUGUUUCACAGCCGAAGAGAGAACAAGUAACCCAGUGAUAAAGUGCAUUAAACAGAAAUACAGGAGGAACUGCAAACCAAGAAACUUUGCGGUUCAAGUUAAGGGUGGAAAUUGGGAGUGUAUCAAAUCUAAUUCACAGUGGAUUAUAAGGGAGAUGGACAUGGGCAACAUAAGCUGUCGUCCAGAAUAAAGAAAAUGAGAAAUGGGAAUUGAUGUGGAGCAGCAAAAACCACGCAGCUACUGUGAUCAACUGCGAUGAACAACUCCUUAUGGCUUUUAUGAAUAUAUUCUUUACAUUUCUUGCUUUUAUGGAAUUUCUUUCUGCAGCUUGAAUUAUGUCCAGGUCAUAAGUGAGCAUGAAGUUAGUGAGAGCUACUAAAAUGUUUUUUCCAAACACAUAUUAGAAGUAUUUCUUCCAAUUUUAGUCAAGGUUGUCAA